AUAAGUCUUCAGGGUGGGUAUUAUUCCCAACUGGCGGUAUAGUCCGCGAGCCUUAAUCGGCACGAUUUGGUGAAAUUCCAAAACCAACAGUAAAGUCUGGACGGAAGAAGAUUUUA
RNAcentral lists this non-coding RNA (116 nucleotides) under Criibacterium bergeronii. Its description in RNAcentral is "FMN riboswitch aptamer (RFN element)". It matches the Rfam family "FMN riboswitch aptamer (RFN element)". From Rfam's summary of the family: The RFN element is a highly conserved domain that is found frequently in the 5'-untranslated regions of prokaryotic mRNAs that encode for flavin mononucleotide (FMN) biosynthesis and transport proteins. This element is a metabolite-dependent riboswitch that directly binds FMN in the absence of proteins. The record is from Rfam by way of RNAcentral. RNAcentral also lists the same sequence under 1 other name. Lineage: Bacteria; Bacillati; Bacillota; Clostridia; Peptostreptococcales; Filifactoraceae.